CAGCAGCCGCGGUAAUACGUAGGGGGCAAGCGUUGUCCGGAAUUAUUGGGCGUAAAGCGCGCGCAGGCGGUCAUUUAAGUCUGGUGUUUAAUCCCGGGGCUCAACCCCGGAUCGCACUGGAAACUGGGUGACUUGAGUGCAGAAGAGGAGAGUGGAAUUCCACGUGUAGCGGUGAAAUGCGUAGAUAUGUGGAGGAACACCAGUGGCGAAGGCGACUCUCUGGGCUGUAACUGACGCUGAGGCGCGAAAGCGUGGGGAGCAAACAGGAUUAGAUACCCGCGUAGUCCCUGUCUCUUAUACA
This 301-nucleotide ribosomal RNA is filed under the name uncultured bacterium. RNAcentral describes it as "partial 16S ribosomal RNA". It matches the Rfam family "Bacterial small subunit ribosomal RNA", at positions 509 to 808 of the family's 1533-position model. The record is from RNAcentral.